RNAcentral lists this ribosomal RNA (581 nucleotides) under uncultured bacterium. Its description in RNAcentral is "bacterial SSU rRNA". It matches the Rfam family "Bacterial small subunit ribosomal RNA", at positions 102 to 680 of the family's 1533-position model. The record is from RNAcentral.
ACGGGUGAGUAAUGUCUGGGGAUCUGCCCGAUAGAGGGGGAUAACCACUGGAAACGGUGGCUAAUACCGCAUAACGUCGCAAGACCAAAGAGGGGGACCUUCGGGCCUCUCACUAUCGGAUGAACCCAGAUGGGAUUAGCUAGUAGGCGGGGUAAUGGCCCACCUAGGCGACGAUCCCUAGCUGGUCUGAGAGGAUGACCAGCCACACUGGAACUGAGACACGGUCCAGACUCCUACGGGAGGCAGCAGUGGGGAAUAUUGCACAAUGGGCGCAAGCCUGAUGCAGCCAUGCCGCGUGUAUGAAGAAGGCCUUCGGGUUGUAAAGUACUUUCAGCGGGAGGAAGGCGGUGCGGUUAAUAACCGCACCGAUUGACGUUACCCGCAGAAGAAGCACCGGCUAACUCCGUGCCAGCAGCCGCGGUAAUACGGAGGGUGCAAGCGUUAAUCGGAAUUACUGGGCGUAAAGCGCACGCAGGCGGUCUGUUAAGUCAGAUGUGAAAUCCCCGGGCUUAACCUGGGAACUGCAUUUGAAACUGGCAGGCUUGAGUCUUGUAGAGGGGGGUAGAAUUCCAGGUGUAGCG